Molecule: RNase P RNA, 354 nt
Filed under: Lentisphaerota bacterium
Lineage: Bacteria; Pseudomonadati; Lentisphaerota
Description: Lentisphaerae bacterium (feces metagenome) RNase P RNA component class A
Rfam family: Bacterial RNase P class A
About the family: Ribonuclease P (RNase P) is a ubiquitous endoribonuclease, found in archaea, bacteria and eukarya as well as chloroplasts and mitochondria. Its best characterised activity is the generation of mature 5'-ends of tRNAs by cleaving the 5'-leader elements of precursor-tRNAs.
Source: RNAcentral
UCUUGAUCGCGGGCAAUCGCGGCGGGGAUUUCGAUCCCCGUUGAGGAAAGUCCGGACUGCAUAGAGCGGGGAGCCCCUUUGAAAAGAGGGGUGCUGCGGACCAUAUUCCGCAGAAAGACCAGUGCAACAGAGAGCAGACCGCCGCCGCAAGGCGGUAAGGGUGAAAGGGUGGGGUAAGAGCCCACCGGGUGACUGUGAGAGCAUCACCGCAUGGUAAACUCCUCCCGCAGCAAGACCAAAUAGGGAGUGAGCCGUUGCUCGCGGCGUUAUAAACUCCGGGUUCUGGUCGCACAGACAGAUGAUUGCCGCCGCCGCGAGGCGGUACAGAAUCCGGCUUACAGCGGUUGGGAUGUU